Molecule: ribosomal RNA, 406 nt
Filed under: uncultured bacterium
Lineage: Bacteria
Description: partial 16S ribosomal RNA
Rfam family: Bacterial small subunit ribosomal RNA
Source: RNAcentral
AUCGAACGCUGGCGGCAGGCUUAACACAUGCAAGUCGAGCGAGCGGCGGACGGGCGAGUAAUGUCUGGGAAACUGACUGACGGAGGGGGAUAACUACUGGAACCGGUAGCUACUACCGCAUACCAUCAGAUGUGCCCAGACGGGAUUAGCUAGUAGGUGGGGUAAUGGCUCACCUAGGCGACGAUCCCGAGCUGGUCUGAGAGGCUGCACCGCCACAUGGGAACUGGGACACGGUCCAGACUCCGACGGGAGGCAGCAGUAGGGAAUAUUGGGCAAUGGGCGCAAGCCUGAUGCAGCCAUGCCGCGUGUGUGAAGAAGGCCUUCGGGUUGUAAAGCACUUUCAGCGGGGAGGCGUUACUCGCAGAGGAAGCAACGGCUAACUCCGUGCCAGCAGCCGCGGUAAUUC